Molecule: small nuclear RNA, 148 nt
Gene: U1
Rfam family: U1 spliceosomal RNA
About the family: U1 is a small nuclear RNA (snRNA) component of the spliceosome (involved in pre-mRNA splicing). Its 5' end forms complementary base pairs with the 5' splice junction, thus defining the 5' donor site of an intron.
Source: Ensembl
AAAGGGGGGGGGGGGGGGGUAAAGGGGAGACACUGUGAUCAACUUCAGGGCGAGGCUCAGCCAUUGCACUCCGGCUGUCGGACCCAUGCAAAUUCCCCAAAUGUGGGAAUCUCGACUACAUCAUUUCUGGUAGUGGGGGACUCCCCUG